This 281-nucleotide small nuclear RNA is filed under the name Chinchilla lanigera (long-tailed chinchilla). RNAcentral describes it as "7SK RNA (ENSCLAG00000021586.1)". It matches the Rfam family "7SK RNA". From Rfam's summary of the family: 7SK was discovered as an abundant small nuclear RNA in the mid-70s but a possible function has only recently been suggested. The record is from Rfam by way of RNAcentral. Lineage: Eukaryota; Metazoa; Chordata; Mammalia; Rodentia; Chinchillidae.
AGAUGCGAGGGUGAGCUGGCUAUGACAUUUGUCACCCCAUUGAUCACCAGGAUUGAUUCAGCUGAUCUGACCGGCUAGGUGGAUGUCCCCUUCCUCCUCACCACUCCAUAGGCAUCCCUCUCAAAGCUGUGCGUUUGGUGGACCCUAUUAGAGGAGGACCAUUUCCUUGGUCAAGUGAAUACAAGUAGCUGUGCUCCCCUGCUAGAACCUCCAAACAAGGUCUCAAGAAGACGUCAGCCUUCCUAGACUCCUCUCACAUGUCCCAUCUCAGUCUCUAAGGG